GACGAACGCUGGCGGCGUGCUUAACACAUGCAAGUCGAACGGAAAGGCCCUGCUUUUGUGGGGUGCUCGAGUGGCGAACGGGUGAGUAACACGUGAGUAACCUGCCCUUGACUUUGGGAUAACUUCAGGAAACUGGGGCUAAUACCGGAUAGGAGCUCCUGCUGCAUGGUGGGGGUUGGAAAGUUUCGGCGGUUGGGGAUGGACUCGCGGCUUAUCAGCUUGUUGGUGGGGUAGUGGCUUACCAAGGCUUUGACGGGUAGCCGGCCUGAGAGGGUGACCGGCCACAUUGGGACUGAGAUACGGCCCAGACUCCUACGGGAGGCAGCAGUGGGGAAUAUUGCACAAUGGGCGGAAGCCUGAUGCAGCAACGCCGCGUGCGGGAUGACGGCCUUCGGGUUGUAAACCGCUUUCGGCUGUGACGAAGCGUGAGUGACGGUAAUUGGUAAAGAAGCACCGGCUAACUACGUG
This 468-nucleotide ribosomal RNA is filed under the name uncultured bacterium. RNAcentral describes it as "partial 16S ribosomal RNA". It matches the Rfam family "Bacterial small subunit ribosomal RNA", at positions 28 to 507 of the family's 1533-position model. The record is from RNAcentral.